Molecule: non-coding RNA, 21 nt
Filed under: Rattus norvegicus (Norway rat)
Lineage: Eukaryota; Metazoa; Chordata; Mammalia; Rodentia; Muridae
Source: RNAcentral
UGAACGGCCCUUGUUGUGAGG